GGGAUUGUGGCUCAGUGGUAGAGCACUCGCCUAGCAUGUGUGAGUCACUGAGUUCAAUUCUCAGCACCA
RNAcentral lists this transfer RNA (69 nucleotides) under Marmota marmota marmota (Alpine marmot). It matches the Rfam family "tRNA". Rfam says of the family: Transfer RNA (tRNA) molecules are approximately 80 nucleotides in length. Their secondary structure includes four short double-helical elements and three loops (D, anti-codon, and T loops). RNAcentral also lists the same sequence under 3 other names. The record is from Rfam by way of RNAcentral. Lineage: Eukaryota; Metazoa; Chordata; Mammalia; Rodentia; Sciuridae.